UUAAAACAUUUGGGGUGCUUUUAAGCUGAGAAUAUACCCAUAGAACCUGAUGCUGUUAGUACAGCCGUAGGAAAAUGUUUAUUUUUUAUC
RNAcentral lists this non-coding RNA (90 nucleotides) under Gemella haemolysans. Its description in RNAcentral is "TPP sequence". It matches the Rfam family "TPP riboswitch aptamer (THI element)". Rfam says of the family: Vitamin B(1) in its active form thiamin pyrophosphate (TPP) is an essential coenzyme that is synthesised by coupling of pyrimidine and thiazole moieties in bacteria. The previously detected thiamin-regulatory element, thi box was extended, resulting in a new, highly conserved RNA secondary structure, the THI element, which is widely distributed in eubacteria and also occurs in some archaea. Analysis of operon structures identified a large number of new candidate thiamin-regulated genes, mostly transporters, in various prokaryotic organisms. The record is from RNAcentral. Lineage: Bacteria; Bacillati; Bacillota; Bacilli; Caryophanales; Gemellaceae.